Gallus gallus (chicken) is the source of this 1590-nucleotide long non-coding RNA. The record is from Ensembl. Lineage: Eukaryota; Metazoa; Chordata; Aves; Galliformes; Phasianidae.
AGGAAUUGGAUUUUGCCCAACGAUUUCAAACGUUUUUAUUGGAGAGAAGACAUUUAUUGCAUCCCCGGGGACGUGAGGCAAAAAAUACCGUGCCCUCCGAGAUGAGGCUGCCAUUGGGUUUUCAGUUUGAUGCACCUAUUUCUAAGCGCUACCCUAAAUAAAUAAGCGGCAAAGCAUUCCUAGCUUCUUGGUGAAAAAGAAGCGUGCGACCCGGGGGAAGCGAAGGGAGCGCACCUGCCUGGACUGCUCUGCCGUAGCGCCGGGGUCAGAGAUGCACUGAGUCAUCCCGGUGCACAGAGUGGGGCACGCAGGGUAAAUUGAUUCUCAUCUCUGCGAGAUUUCCUCGUUUGUUCGCUAGCUGUAGGAGGGGAUUUCCAUAGUAAUGCGACCUGUCUCCGCGCUCCAUUAAUCGUCUCCCAAGUGAUGUAGAUCAUCCUGGUUGAACAGAUAGGUAAUGGAGGAGCGCUGAGUGCCCGAGCAACGCAUCUGAAAGGAACAGUUUUAGGAAUAUCAUAAAGAGAUCGUUUUUGUGAUUCCAAGCCAGGCCGAGUUGUUCUGAUGUCCGCAGCAGCUGGAAGAGAAAACCAUACAACGGCUGAUGGAGUUGGCUGCAGCAAGAAAAUCACAUCUCAGUUCCCAGGAUUUCAGAAAGAUGGGCCUCCUCCGAUAGUUGCAAAUCUCUGCAAAACGUUCUGGUGCUGCUGUGCACUGGUUUGAUCAGAUCUUGGCGAUUUCCUCCUGCGUGCACUCCAUGGCUCUGCUCUUGAGGAUGGAUGAUGCUACCCGGAACUGUGUCUGAUUCAGUGUGCUGAAGGAGGAGAGAAGGGGGAUGCGGAGUUGAUCUUCAAAACUGGCCCGCGUAUUUUGGGUCUGAGCCGUUGGCAGCACUGCUGUGCUGAUUCCCCUUCGUCUAAGCGUUCCUGACCGAUCCGUGCCUUGCCCGGAGCGGAAAGGUAAAGAGAGGUCCUUCCGUUUGUGUCGGAGAUGGCUUCUUUCCUGGGCUGGCUUUCUUUGCGGCGUAGGUACGCCGAACCCUGCCGCUUUCCAGUGCCCUUUUUCAGAAGGUUACGCUUCUCUGUGAAAGCGGUAGGUGGCAAGAAAAGGAGAUGGUGAAGCGCUGGCAACACCCAGUGGGUUCGUUAGCUGCUCUUUGCCAUUCGGCCUGAAGGGGCCCGUUCGAAUCACCUGAAAGGUCUCCAGCAGGUAUCUGCAUUGAUAUCUGAUACAGAUAUCUGUAUUGAUAUCUGCUGCAAAGCUAUCUCUGAUGGGACAUUCCAAAGCACGGCCUGCUUUACCCCAUGCCGUGAUUUUCCGGGCCUUGUCCCUCCUGUUAUCAGUGGGAGCGGUCUCCCCAUGGCAGAGCAGAGAUACAAGCUCAGCUUUAGCCCUGAUGCCCCAAUAACUUUCAUUCAUUUCAUCUGUUCACAUGGUGCUGUGAAACUUGCUGGCUUAAUCACUCCUCCCAGGGAUUCUUCUGCUCGGAACUGAACACCGGUGAACACAAAAUGCAUACAUACAUACAAAAGGUUUACCAGUGCUGUUUCCAGAAGUGUAAGCCCGUGGAUUUUAGGAACUGCAUCUCAGACUGUG